UUUUAAUUCUUCUUCUAAUUUAGGAGUUAAUUAAUUUUUAUAAAUAUUAUGAUGAGUAAUUAGCUUAACUUUGGUAAUUUAUUUUAAGAGUUAAUUUGGGUUGUUAAUUAAUUAUAAAAGCAAAACAAAAAGAAAGGAAAUUGUGAAUUUGUUUUAAAACCUUGAAAUUGGGCCAGUUUAAUUGGAAAUCCGCCCAAAAUAUUCCCCAAUCCAGGCCCAAACUCGAUCCCCACCCGGUCCAAACCUUUCAAGUAUCAAGACAACUCAAACGACGUCGUUUUGAGUUCAAUUGUGUUAAAUUGAUCUUGGCCUUUCAUUUUCCAUCAUCCAAUGGCCCUAAUACUUCCCCCAUUUUCGUUUAAAAAUGUCUGAAGACCCUUUAGAACAACCUAGGACCCCUGAUGAGCUUCUUUUUCAUCUCUCUCAAGUCUAACCCUAGAGAACCCGUCGCCCCUAAACUCCUAAGCUUCCACCGGGGCAUGGCCCAAUCGACUCCAAAUCCCUACCACACAACCACCACCCACCCCUGAUUCCUAAUCCACCACCACAUCUCCCAAAAUUCCUAUCAAAUCCGGCUAGUUUUGGAUCUAAAAGAAAUAAGAAGAAAAAGAAAAAUCUUCCAAGUCUUCGAGCUUCCAAGAACGAUUAAGGUUGAAAUUUGUAUUGUUCGCUUGUUCUCAAUGAGACACGCAAUUAAUACCAAUUUCGGCAAAUCGGAGAAUGCCGACAGGUCUGUUAAAGCCAAAGUCUGUCUACUUUUUAGGUAUUUCUUGGAUCUCAUUAACUUGUGAAGUGCAAAAAAAAUCUGAAGUCAUGUAAUCAAGAUAGAAUUUAAGAUAUAUGUUGUUCAUUGAAUGAUGUUCUAUGAUCUUAAGAUCAUGCAACUCUGUAGUAGCUUAGUCUCUUUGAUAUGCUUAUUUGUUCAAUUUUGAUUUUGGUUUGAAUCAUGUUCAUAAGUCUAAACAAAUACUCUAAUUUAGUUUAUGGGUGUUGUAAAUUAUUUGAAGUUCUGUUUGUAUGUGUGGACUGUUGGGUUUAUUGCAGCAUGGGUUGAUUUAGAUGA
Nicotiana tabacum (common tobacco) is the source of this 1063-nucleotide long non-coding RNA. RefSeq lists it as uncharacterized. The record is from RefSeq and is a predicted model, not a curated record. Lineage: Eukaryota; Viridiplantae; Streptophyta; Magnoliopsida; Solanales; Solanaceae.